This 100-nucleotide non-coding RNA is filed under the name Acetoanaerobium sticklandii. RNAcentral describes it as "Clostridium sticklandii Guanine sequence". It matches the Rfam family "Purine riboswitch aptamer". From Rfam's summary of the family: Riboswitches are metabolite binding domains within certain messenger RNAs that serve as precision sensors for their corresponding targets. The record is from RNAcentral. Lineage: Bacteria; Bacillati; Bacillota; Clostridia; Peptostreptococcales; Filifactoraceae. RNAcentral also lists the same sequence under 1 other name.
ACAUUUCAAAUGUUUUUCCCUCAUAUAAUACCGGUAAUAUGGACCGGAAGUCUCUACCGAAAACCGUAAAUUUUCGACUAUGAGUGGAUCGCUGUGUAUA